This 466-nucleotide ribosomal RNA is filed under the name uncultured bacterium. RNAcentral describes it as "partial 16S ribosomal RNA". It matches the Rfam family "Bacterial small subunit ribosomal RNA", at positions 339 to 795 of the family's 1533-position model. The record is from RNAcentral.
CUACGGGACGCAGCAGUGGGGAAUAUUGGACAAUGGGGGCAACCCUGAUCCAGCCAUGCCGCGUGUGUGAAGAAGGCCUUUUGGUUGUAAAGCACUUUAAGCAGGGAGGAGAGGCUAAUGGUUAAUACCCAUUAGAUUAGACGUUACCUGCAGAAUAAGCACCGGCUAACUCUGUGCCAGCGAGCCGCGGUAAUACAGAGGGUGCGAGCGUUAAUCGGAAUUACUGGGCGUAAAGCGAGUGUAGGUGGCUCAUUAAGUCACAUGUGAAAUCCCCGGGCUUAACCUGGGAACUACAUGUGAUACUGGUGGUGCUAGAAUAUGUGAGAGGGAAGUAGAAUUCCAGGUGUAGCGGUGAAAUGCGUAGAGAUCUGGAGGAAUACCGAUGGCGAAGGCAGCUUCCUGGCAUAAUAUUGACACUGAGAUUCGAAAGCGUGGGUAGCAAACAGGAUUAGAUACCCGCGUAGUC